CACCGGCACCCCGAGUGGUAGCCACUAUUAUUGGGCCUAAAGCAUCCGUAGCCGGCUCUGUAAGUUUUCGGUUAAAUCCAUGUGCUCAACACAUGGGCUGCCGAAAAUACUGCAUAGCUAGGGAGUGGGAGAGGUAGACGGUACUCAGUAGGAAGGGGUAAAAUCCUUUGAUCUAUUGAUGACCACCUGUGGCGAAGGCGGUCUACCAGAACACGUUCGACGGUGAGGGAUGAAAGCUGGGGGAGCAAACCGG
Molecule: ribosomal RNA, 253 nt
Filed under: uncultured archaeon
Lineage: Archaea
Description: partial 16S ribosomal RNA
Rfam family: Archaeal small subunit ribosomal RNA
Source: RNAcentral